AUUGAACGCUGGCGGCAUGCCUCACACAUGCAAGUCGAACGGUAACAGGUCUUCGGAUGCUGACGAGUGGCGAACGGGUGAGUAAUACAUCGGAACGUGCCUAGUAGUGGGGGAUAACUACUCGAAAAAGUGGCUAAUACCGCAUGAGAUCUACGGAUGAAAGCAGGGGAUCGCAAGACCUUGUGCUACUAGAGCGGCCGAUGGCAGAUUAGGUAGUUGGUGGGAUAAAAGCUUACCAAGCCGACGAUCUGUAGCUGGUCUGAGAGGACGAUCAGCCACACUGGGACUGAGACACGGCCCAGACUCCUACGGGAGGCAGCAGUGGGGAAUUUUGGACAAUGGGCGAAAGCCUGAUCCAGCAAUGCCGCGUGCAGGAUGAAGGCCUUCGGGUUGUAAACUGCUUUUGUACGGAACGAAAAGCCCUGGGUUAAUACCCUGGGGUCAUGACGGUACCGUAAGAAUAAGCACUGGCUAACUACGUGCCAGCCGCCGCGGUAA
This 498-nucleotide ribosomal RNA is filed under the name uncultured bacterium. RNAcentral's name for it is "partial 16S ribosomal RNA". It matches the Rfam family "Bacterial small subunit ribosomal RNA", at positions 30 to 523 of the family's 1533-position model. The record is from RNAcentral.